Molecule: ribosomal RNA, 510 nt
Filed under: uncultured bacterium
Lineage: Bacteria
Description: partial 16S ribosomal RNA
Rfam family: Bacterial small subunit ribosomal RNA
Source: RNAcentral
GACGAACGCUGGCGGCGUGCUUAACACAUGCAAGUCGAACGAAGAGCGAUGGAAGCUUGCUUCUAUCAAUCUUAGUGGCGAACGGGUGAGUAACGCGUAAUCAACCUGCCCUUCAGAGGGGGACAACAGUUGGAAACGACUGCUAAUACCGCAUACGAUCUAAUCUCGGCAUCGAGGAUAGAUGAAAGGUGGCCUCUACAUGUAAGCUAUCACUGAAGGAGGGGAUUGCGUCUGAUUAGCUAGUUGGAGGGGUAACGGCCCACCAAGGCGAUGAUCAGUAGCCGGUCUGCGAGGAUGAACGGCCACAUUGGGACUGAGACACGGCCCAGACUCCUACGGGAGGCAGCAGUGGGGAAUCUUCCGCAAUGGACGAAAGUCUGACGGAGCAACGCCGCGUGAGUGAUGACGGCCUUCGGGUUGUAAAGCUCUGUUAAUCGGGACGAAAGGCCUUCUUGCGAACAGUUAGAAGGAUUGACGGUACCGGAAUAGAAAGCCACGGCUAACUACGUG